CCUACGGGAGGCUGCAGUGGGGGAUAUUGGACAAUGGGGGGAACCCUGAUCCAGCGACGCCGCGUGCGUGAAGAAGUAUUUCGGUAUGUAAAGCUCUAUCAGUAGGGAAGAAAGGAAUGACGGUACCUGACUAAGAAGCCCCGGCUAACUACGUGCCAGCAGCCGCGGUAAUACGUAGGGGGCAAGCGUUAUCCGGAUUUACUGGGUGUAAAGGGAGCGUAGACGGUUACGCAAGUCUGGAGUGAAAGGCGGGGGCCCAACCCCCGGACUGCUUUGGAAACUGGAUAACUGGAGUGCAGGAAAGGUAAGUGGAAUUCCUAGGGUAGCGGUGAAAUGCGUAGAUAUUAGGAGGAACACCAGUGGCGAAGGCGGCUUACUGGACUGUAACUGACGUUGAGGCUCGAAAGCGUGGGGAGCAAACAGGAUUAGAUACCCGGGUAGUC
RNAcentral lists this ribosomal RNA (443 nucleotides) under uncultured bacterium. Its description in RNAcentral is "partial 16S ribosomal RNA". It matches the Rfam family "Bacterial small subunit ribosomal RNA", at positions 338 to 795 of the family's 1533-position model. The record is from RNAcentral.